This 1250-nucleotide long non-coding RNA is filed under the name Homo sapiens (human). RNAcentral describes it as "HSALNT0392323". Lineage: Eukaryota; Metazoa; Chordata; Mammalia; Primates; Hominidae. The record is from RNAcentral.
CCUGUAGGCAAAGCCUAGGCAAGAGUUACAUCACCUUUGUCAUCAGUUCAGGGAUAUGUGAAAACGCCCCUGCAGGCAGAGCUUAGACAAGAGUUACAUCACCUAGUUGAUCAGUGCAGAGAUAUUUCACAAUACCUCCUGUAGGCAGAUCCUAGUCAAGAGUUGCAUCACCUGGGUGAUCAGUGCAGAGAUAUUUCACAACGCCCCCUGUAGGCAGAGGGUAGACAAGAGUUACAUCACCUAGGUGAUCAGUGCAGAGAUUUGUCGAAAUUCCCUGUAGGCAGUGCUUAUAAAAGUGUUACAUCACCUAAGUGAUCAGUGCAGAGAUAUGUCACAAAGCUCCUGUAGGCAGAGCUUAGAUGAGUUACAUCACCUGGGUGAUCAGAGCAAAGGUAUGUCACAAAGCCCCCUGUAGGCCAAAGCCUAGACAAUAGUUACAUCACUUGGGUGAUCAGUGGCGAGAUCUCUCACAAUUCCCCUGUAGGCAGAGCUUAUACAACAGUUACAUCACCUGGGUGAUCAGUGCAGAUAUAUGUCACAAUGCCCCCAUAGGCAGAUCCAAGACAAGAGUCCGUCUCCUGGGUGAUCAGUGCAGAAAUACGUCACAAUGCCCCCUUAGGCAGAGCCUAGACAAAAGCCCCAUCACCUGGAUGAUUAGUGCAGAGUUAUGUCACAAAGUCCCUUUAGGCAGAUCCUAGACAAGAGUCCCAUUACUUGGGUGAUCAGUGCAGAGAUAUGUCACAAUGCCACUGUAGGCAGAGCCUAGACAAGAGUUACAUGACCUAGGUGAUCAGUGCAGAGAUACAUCGCAAUGCCCCUGUAGGCAGAGCCUUGACAAGUGGUACAUCACCUGGGUGAUCAUUGCAGGGAUAUGUCACAAAGCACCCUGUAGGCAGAUCCUAGAGAAGAGUUAUAUCACCUGGGUGAUCAGUGCAGAGAUAUGUCACAAGCCCCCUGUAGGCAGAGCCUAGACAAGAGUUAUAUCACCUGGGUGAUCAGUGCAGUCAUAUGUCACAAUGCUGUGUAGCCAGAGCCUAGACAAAAGUUACAGCACCUGGGAGAUCAGUGCAGAGAUAUGUCACAAUGUCCCCAGUAGGCAGAGACCAGGCAAGAGUUGGAUCACCUCGGGAUCAGUGCAGAGAUAUGUCUCAAUCCCCCUGUGGGCACAGCCUAGACAAGAGUUACAUCACCUCGGUUAACAGUGCAGAGAUAUGUCAAAAUGCCCCUGUAGGCAGAGCCUACACAAGUGU